CAACCCCAGGUCAGGCGGGGCUACCCGCUGAGUUUAAGCAUAUCA
This 45-nucleotide ribosomal RNA is filed under the name Opuntia tomentosa. RNAcentral describes it as "partial 26S ribosomal RNA". Lineage: Eukaryota; Viridiplantae; Streptophyta; Magnoliopsida; Caryophyllales; Cactaceae. The record is from RNAcentral.